RNAcentral lists this RNase P RNA (342 nucleotides) under Chloroflexota bacterium. Its description in RNAcentral is "RNase P RNA component class A". It matches the Rfam family "Bacterial RNase P class A". From Rfam's summary of the family: Ribonuclease P (RNase P) is a ubiquitous endoribonuclease, found in archaea, bacteria and eukarya as well as chloroplasts and mitochondria. Its best characterised activity is the generation of mature 5'-ends of tRNAs by cleaving the 5'-leader elements of precursor-tRNAs. Cellular RNase Ps are ribonucleoproteins. The record is from RNAcentral. Lineage: Bacteria; Bacillati; Chloroflexota.
AGAGAGUUGAGGAUGGCCGCUGGCCCGGUUCCCGGGUUAGAGGAAAGUCCGAGCUGCACAGAGCAAGGGUGCCCGGUGAAAGCCGGGGAAGCGCGGCAACGCGUUGACAGUCCACACUGGCGCGUCCCAGGAUGCGAGAACAACAGAGACCAAUCCCGUCGACUACGGUCGGGCGGGCUGAAAAGGGUAAUCCUCCCCGCAGCAAUCUCCGAUUCGACCGUUUGCAGGCUGCUCGCCAAGGUCGGAAGUCGAGAGCCGUCACGAAGGCGACGACGUGACCAGCCCUUGUGGCUGAGAGAGAUGGCCAUCACGAACAGAACUCGGCUUACUCCUUCUCUUCUG